Molecule: ribosomal RNA, 380 nt
Filed under: uncultured eukaryote
Lineage: Eukaryota
Description: SSU rRNA
Rfam family: Eukaryotic small subunit ribosomal RNA
Source: RNAcentral
AGCUCCAAUAGCGUAUAUUAAAGUUGUUGCGGUUAAAAAGCUCGUAGUUGGAUUUCUGCGGUAGCAAGCCGGUCCACACUAUGUGUGAGUAUCUUGCUCGGCUACUGCAUCCUCUUGAGGAACGUGUUGCGCUUUACUGCGUGAUACGGUAUUCAAGACUUUUACUUUGAGGAAAUUAGAGUGUUCACGGCAGGCGUUUGCCCUGAAUAUAUUAGCAUGGAAUAAUGAUAUAGGAUCCACGUCCUAUUUUGUUGGUUUCUAGGACGAGGAUAAUGAUUAAUAGGGAUAAUUGGGGGCAUUCGUAUUAAGACGUCAGAGGUGGAAUUCUUGGAUUGUCUUACGACGAACUACUGCGAAAGCAUUUGCCAAGGAUGUUUUCA